This 452-nucleotide ribosomal RNA is filed under the name uncultured bacterium. Its description in RNAcentral is "bacterial SSU rRNA". It matches the Rfam family "Bacterial small subunit ribosomal RNA", at positions 38 to 518 of the family's 1533-position model. The record is from RNAcentral.
GGCGGUAUGCCUAACACAGUGCAAGUCGAACGAGAUCAUUUUUGUUACAAGAAUGAUGCAGUGGCGGACGGGUGAGGAACACGUAAGAACUUACCUUUUGGCGGGGGAUAACAACGGGAAACUGUUGCUAAUACCCCAUAAUGCUGAGGAGCGAAGGGAAACUGCCAAAAAGAGAGGCUUGCGUCUGAUUAGCUAGUUGGUGGAGGUAAAUGCUCCCCAAGGCGACGAUCAGUAGCUGGUCUGAGAGGAUGAUCAGCCACACUGGGACUGAGACACGGCCCAGACUCCUACGGGAGGCAGCAGUGGGGAAUUUUCCACAAUGGGCGAAAGCCUGAUUGGAGCAAUACCGCGUGAGGGAUGACGGAUCGUGGUCUGUAAACCUCUUUUCUUAAGGAAGAAUAAAUGACGGUAUUUAAGGAAUAAGCACCGGCUAACUCCGUGCCAGCAGCAGC